GCCAUUUCUGGGAUAGCUUAGUUGGUAGAGCAUGAGCCUCUUGAUCUCAAGGUUGUGGGUUCGAGCCCCACGUUGGGCA
Molecule: non-coding RNA, 79 nt
Organism: Podarcis lilfordi (Lilford's wall lizard)
Lineage: Eukaryota; Metazoa; Chordata; Lepidosauria; Squamata; Lacertidae
Source: the annotation of a GenBank genome assembly